GGGGAGAGUCUCGUUUCAGCCUGGGUGUUAGAGUUGGCGCCUCACCUCGACAGUGAAGAAACAGGAAAUCAUAAUCGCAUUCUCUGGGAUCCAGCUCCUGCUUCCAGAGUCAUCCCUGACUCCAGGAAACCCAGCUCCUGCCCCUGCCAGUCACCACGGCUUGGACUCUGUUUUAGAAACCACUAAGGGGGAGUUAAGCAGGCAGGUGGCUCUGGAGAGACUUAGAGGAGGUUUGAUAAAGGACAGAUAUUUGAGAUCUUUCUAUGUCUGAGGAAGUAGAUGGUGACAGAAAUGGCUUCCCUGGUUUCCUUAGAUCAGGGGAAUGAGAGUCAGAACCCUGAUCGCCUUCCAGGGCACAGAGACCGGUGACUUCCUCCCAGGGGAUGUGUGUAUGGAGGUGUGYGCGAGGGUCAGAGUAGGGGAGAGGCAAGGGGGCUGCUGGGGACGCAGGUAAAGGGACUUUGUGGCUGAACAGGUUAAAGGCCUGGAGAGAAGGAAAUGGCCACAAUAUUCUCUGGUUAAAUAAUAAAAGCCAGCAGGAGAGCAGCUCGGGACCUCGGAGCCAGGACUGCAGAGAAGGAGAAUCUGAAGGGGGAGGUCUUCCUUCUGCCCCUCCCAGCCCCUCCAGUGCCCUGGUGUCCAGGACGCGGAGCUGAGCUACCGCCUCCAGAGCCUCUCCUCACCAUGAAUCCACUSAAGGACGCAGAAAAGGCUCAAGCCCUUAAAGGGACAUGAUGAGUAGGCCGAUCUGAUCGUUCCCAAGUAAGGAAGACYUGGUGGUCCUCAGCGGUUCAGCGGAGGGAGCUGUUUUUCCACCCCCAGCGAA
Urocitellus parryii (Arctic ground squirrel) is the source of this 826-nucleotide non-coding RNA. The record is from RefSeq and is a predicted model, not a curated record. Lineage: Eukaryota; Metazoa; Chordata; Mammalia; Rodentia; Sciuridae.